RNAcentral lists this ribosomal RNA (488 nucleotides) under uncultured bacterium. RNAcentral describes it as "bacterial SSU rRNA". It matches the Rfam family "Bacterial small subunit ribosomal RNA", at positions 501 to 988 of the family's 1533-position model. The record is from RNAcentral.
CUACGUGCCAGCAGCCGCGGUAAUACGUAGGGUGCGAGCGUUAAUCGGAAUUACUGGGCGUAAAGCGAGCGCAGACGGUUACUUAAGCAGGAUGUGAAAUCCCCGGGCUCAACCUGGGAACUGCGUUCUGAACUGGGUGACUAGAGUGUGUCAGAGGGAGGUAGAAUUCCACGUGUAGCAGUGAAAUGCGUAGAGAUGUGGAGGAAUACCGAUGGCGAAGGCAGCCUCCUGGGAUAACACUGACGUUCAUGCUCGAAAGCGUGGGUAGCAAACAGGAUUAGAUACCCUGGUAGUCCACGCCCUAAACGAUGUCAAUUAGCUGUUGGGCAACUUGAUUGCUUAGUAGCGUAGCUAACGCGUGAAAUUGACCGCCUGGGGAGUACGGUCGCAAGAUUAAAACUCAAAGGAAUUGACGGGGACCCGCACAAGCGGUGGAUGAUGUGGAUUAAUUCGACGCAACGCGAGAAACCUUACCAGCGUUUGACAUC